This 2918-nucleotide ribosomal RNA is filed under the name Bacillus amyloliquefaciens. Its description in RNAcentral is "bacterial LSU rRNA". It matches the Rfam family "Bacterial large subunit ribosomal RNA". The record is from RNAcentral. Lineage: Bacteria; Bacillati; Bacillota; Bacilli; Caryophanales; Bacillaceae.
CGGUUAAGUUAGAAAGGGCGCACGGUGGAUGCCUUGGCACUAGGAGCCGAUGAAGGACGGGACGAACACCGAUAUGCUUCGGGGAGCUGUAAGCAAGCUUUGAUCCGGAGAUUUCCGAAUGGGGAAACCCACCACUCGUAAUGGAGUGGUAUCCAUAUCUGAAUACAUAGGGUAUGAGAAGGCAGACCCGGGGAACUGAAACAUCUAAGUACCCGGAGGAAGAGAAAGCAAAUGCGAUUCCCUGAGUAGCGGCGAGCGAAACGGGACCAGCCCAAACCAAGAGGCUUGCCUCUUGGGGUUGUAGGACACUCUGUACGGAGUUACAAAGGAACGAGGUAGAUGAAGAGGUCUGGAAAGGCCCGCCAUAGGAGGUAACAGCCCUGUAGUCAAAACUUCGUUCUCUCCUGAGUGGAUCCUGAGUACGGCGGAACACGUGAAAUUCCGUCGGAAUCCGGGAGGACCAUCUCCCAAGGCUAAAUACUCCCUAGUGACCGAUAGUGAACCAGUACCGUGAGGGAAAGGUGAAAAGCACCCCGGAAGGGGAGUGAAAGAGAUCCUGAAACCGUGUGCCUACAAGUAGUCAGAGCCCGUUAACGGGUGAUGGCGUGCCUUUUGUAGAAUGAACCGGCGAGUUACGAUCCCGUGCAAGGUUAAGCAGAAGAUGCGGAGCCGCAGCGAAAGCGAGUCUGAAUAGGGCGAAUUGAGUACGUGGUCGUAGACCCGAAACCAGGUGAUCUACCCAUGUCCAGGGUGAAGUUCAGGUAACACUGAAUGGAGGCCCGAACCCACGCACGUUGAAAAGUGCGGGGAUGAGGUGUGGGUAGGGGUGAAAUGCCAAUCGAACCUGGAGAUAGCUGGUUCUCUCCGAAAUAGCUUUAGGGCUAGCCUCAAGGUAAGAGUCUCGGAGGUAGAGCACUGAUUGGACUAGGGGCCCCUACCGGGUUACCGAAUUCAGUCAAACUCCGAAUGCCGAUGACUUAUCCUUGGGAGUCAGACUGCGAGUGAUAAGAUCCGUAGUCGAAAGGGAAACAGCCCAGACCGCCAGCUAAGGUCCCAAAGUAUACGUUAAGUGGAAAAGGAUGUGGAGUUGCUUAGACAACCAGGAUGUUGGCUUAGAAGCAGCCACCAUUUAAAGAGUGCGUAAUAGCUCACUGGUCGAGUGACUCUGCGCCGAAAAUGUACCGGGGCUAAACGUAUCACCGAAGCUGCGGACUGUUCUUCGAACAGUGGUAGGAGAGCGUUCUAAGGGCUGUGAAGCAAGACCGGAAGGACUUGUGGAGCGCUUAGAAGUGAGAAUGCCGGUAUGAGUAGCGAAAGAGGGGUGAGAAUCCCCUCCACCGAAUGCCUAAGGUUUCCUGAGGAAGGCUCGUCCGCUCAGGGUUAGUCGGGACCUAAGCCGAGGCCGAAAGGCGUAGGCGAUGGAUAACAGGUUGAUAUUCCUGUACCACCUCCUCACCAUUUGAGCAAUGGGGGGACGCAGGAGGAUACGGUAAGCGCGGUAUUGGAUAUCCGCGUCCAAGCAGUUAGGCUGGGAAAUAGGCAAAUCCGUUUCCCGUGAAGGCUGAGCUGUGAUGGCGAGCGAAUUAUAGUAGCGAAGUUCCUGAUUCCACACUGCCAAGAAAAGCCUCUAGCGAGGUGAGAGGUGCCCGUACCGCAAACCGACACAGGUAGGCGAGGAGAGAAUCCUAAGGUGAUCGAGAGAACUCUCGUUAAGGAACUCGGCAAAAUGACCCCGUAACUUCGGGAGAAGGGGUGCUCUGUUAGGGUGCAAGCCCGAGAGAGCCGCAGUGAAUAGGCCCAGGCGACUGUUUAGCAAAAACACAGGUCUCUGCGAAGCCGUAAGGCGAAGUAUAGGGGCUGACGCCUGCCCGGUGCUGGAAGGUUAAGAGGAGCGCUUAGCGUAAGCGAAGGUGCGAAUUGAAGCCCCAGUAAACGGCGGCCGUAACUAUAACGGUCCUAAGGUAGCGAAAUUCCUUGUCGGGUAAGUUCCGACCCGCACGAAAGGCGCAACGAUCUGGGCACUGUCUCAACGAGAGACUCGGUGAAAUUAUAGUACCUGUGAAGAUGCAGGUUACCCGCGACAGGACGGAAAGACCCCGUGGAGCUUUACUGCAGCCUGAUAUUGAAUGUUGGUACAGCUUGUACAGGAUAGGUAGGAGCCUUGGAAACCGGAGCGCCAGCUUCGGUGGAGGCAUCGGUGGGAUACUACCCUGGCUGUAUUGACCUUCUAACCCGCCGCCCUUAUCGGGCGGGGAGACAGUGUCAGGUGGGCAGUUUGACUGGGGCGGUCGCCUCCUAAAAGGUAACGGAGGCGCCCAAAGGUUCCCUCAGAAUGGUUGGAAAUCAUUCGCAGAGUGUAAAGGCACAAGGGAGCUUGACUGCGAGACCUACAAGUCGAGCAGGGACGAAAGUCGGGCUUAGUGAUCCGGUGGUUCCGCAUGGAAGGGCCAUCGCUCAACGGAUAAAAGCUACCCCGGGGAUAACAGGCUUAUCUCCCCCAAGAGUCCACAUCGACGGGGAGGUUUGGCACCUCGAUGUCGGCUCAUCGCAUCCUGGGGCUGUAGUCGGUCCCAAGGGUUGGGCUGUUCGCCCAUUAAAGCGGUACGCGAGCUGGGUUCAGAACGUCGUGAGACAGUUCGGUCCCAGGAAAUUUGAGAGGAGCUGUCCUUAGUACGAGAGGACCGGGAUGGACGCACCGCUGGUGUACCAGUUGUUCUGCCAAGGGCAUCGCUGGGUAGCUAUGUGCGGACGGGAUAAGUGCUGAAAGCAUCUAAGCAUGAAGCCCCCCUCAAGAUGAGAUUUCCCAUUCCGCAAGGAAGUAAGAUCCCUGAAAGAUGAUCAGGUUGAUAGGUCUGAGGUGGAAGUGUGGCGACACAUGGAGCUGACAGAUACUAAUCGAUCGAGGACUUAACCAAUUU